GCYUAACACAUGCAAGUCGAACGAAGCUCCUUAUCUUCGGACGAGGAGUCUUAGUGGCGAACGGGUGCGUAACGCGUUGGUAACCUGCCCCAAAGUGGGGGAUAACAGUUCGAAAGGACUGCUAAUACCUCAUGGGAUCAUCAGGAUUAGAUGCUUGAUGAUUAAAGGAGUAAUCCGCUUUGGGAGGGGCCUGCGUCCCAUCAGCUAGUUGGUAGGGUAAUGGCCUACCAAGGCUUUGACGGGUAGGGGACCUGAGAGGGUGGCCCCCCACACUGGCACUGAAAUACGGGCCAGACACCUACGGGUGGCAAGCAGUAGGGAAUAUUGGACAAUGGGCGAAAGCCUGAUCCAGCAACGCCGCGUGCACGAUGAAGGCCUUCGGGUUGUAAAAGUGCUUUUAGGAGAGAUGAGAAAGGACAGUAUCUCCUGAAUAAGCCUCGGCGAACUACGUGCCAGCAGCCGCGGUAAUAC
Molecule: ribosomal RNA, 471 nt
Filed under: uncultured bacterium
Lineage: Bacteria
Description: bacterial SSU rRNA
Rfam family: Bacterial small subunit ribosomal RNA
Source: RNAcentral